RNAcentral lists this microRNA (22 nucleotides) under Monodelphis domestica (gray short-tailed opossum). RNAcentral's name for it is "mdo-miR-7330-5p". Lineage: Eukaryota; Metazoa; Chordata; Mammalia; Didelphimorphia; Didelphidae. The record is from miRBase by way of RNAcentral.
CUUGCUCAGAGUCACAUAGCUA